Molecule: non-coding RNA, 75 nt
Organism: Phrynosoma platyrhinos (Desert horned lizard)
Lineage: Eukaryota; Metazoa; Chordata; Lepidosauria; Squamata; Phrynosomatidae
Source: the annotation of a GenBank genome assembly
AGCUAGUGUGGCAUAGUGGUUUUAGCACUGCAGAUUAUGACUCUGGAGAACAGGGUUCAAGUCCCAGAUCAGCCA